UACGGAAGGCAGCAGUGGGGAAUAUUGCACAAUGGGCGCAAGCCUGAUGCAGCCAUGCCGCGUGUAUGAAAAAGGCCUUCGGGUUGUAAAGUACUUUCAGUCGUGAGGAAGGUGUUAAGGUUAAUAACCUUAGCAAUUGACGUUAGCGACAGAAGAAGCACCGGCUAACUCCGUGCCAGCAGCCGCGGUAAUACGGAGGGUGCGAGCGUUAAUCGGAAUUACUGGGCGUAAAGGGCACGCAGGCGGCUAAUUAAGUUGGAUGUGAAAUCCCCGGGCUUAACCUGGGAAUGGCAUUCAAGACUGGUUAGCUAGAGUCUUGUAGAGGGGGUAGAAUUCCAUGUGUAGCGGUGAAAUGCGUAGAGAUGUGGAGGAAUACCGGUGGCGAAGGCGGCCCCUGGACAAAGACUGACGCUCAUGUGCGAAAGCGUGGGGAGCAAACAGGGAUUAGAUACC
Molecule: ribosomal RNA, 453 nt
Filed under: uncultured bacterium
Lineage: Bacteria
Description: bacterial SSU rRNA
Rfam family: Bacterial small subunit ribosomal RNA
Source: RNAcentral